UCCUCCGAUGGGAACCUGCAGUCAUGGCGUUAAAAAUUAUGGCUUAUAGAUCAUUAAAGUCACUUUUUCUCUACAACAAUCCCAUAGAUCAGACAAAAUAUCAUCAACGAUCAAAAACAACUGAUUUUAAAGAAAAGAGAGAUAUAAAUUAAAAACUCCGUUGAAUGGCUUUAUGUAAUUGGGACAUCUAAGAAAGAGGUGAAGUGAUUUCGAUUUUAGAGCAUCUUAUUAUGGAUUCUGAUCUUAUGAAAUUUAUGUCAUGGAACCAUCAAAGUAUUUUUGAUUGUUUAAUAUUAUGGAUCUCGAAAGAUUUUGAUUAAAUCUUGGUUUACUAUUUUUGACUGAUUUUUUUAUUUUCUAAUUAUACAGAAAUUAGAUAUUUGAUCUUUACAGGGUUAUUCCUUAAUGCUCUAGAAACAUUUUCUGAAUCUCUCCUCCGCCAAUACCUACUACACCGCUUCCACAGUUUCCAGAAGUCUUCACACUCUUUCUUAGCCAGAAACGGCCAAGCCGCAGAUGCUUUCGUUGCAACCAUCAGUAGAAGUUUGUGCUUCUUCCUCUAAACCUCCAUGCCACCACUGUCAUAACAACCUGAAGUAAUGAAAAAAAUGCCUCAUCUACCUUUGUCUCUUGAUUUUUAUCAGCUUAGACCGUUAGAUAAAGAGAGAGCUCUAUUAUUAAGCUGAAACCAGUUUAUUGGGAUAAAUUCAGGACUACACCCAACUGGACUAUGGUCUGUGGUGAAAAACUCAGAACAAGUUCUUUUGAAUUGGACGAAGAGAUGAUUGGUUGCUAUUUGGAUACGCAAUGCAAAACUCAAAGAACGAAGAACGAAAAUGCAAGACUUCAUCCCCAAGGAAACAUCUUCUUGAAGCUAAAAGACUUCAGAACUUUACCAUUCUCUUGAAAGCCCUUAACGCAAGCGCCGAUCAAAUAUGCUCCUCUUUGGAAAAAGCUAAGCCAAGAUCAGCUCGAGUCGGUCUGUUGUGGACCUUAUCUGAUUAUAAACCUUUCUUUUGUUUCAGGGGAAGGGUUUUUCUACAGCAACCAGAAGCAUUGGUGAAGAUGGUGCUGACUAAAGAAGAAGAGCUAAAGUUGUGUAGCUACAAAGAAGUAGUAGAUGAGCUUGGAUCUGCUGAAAAUUUUCUGAAGGCGCUUUUGUUAGUGAAAUAAUGCUUUAUAAAGACGUUUGAAGAUGAAGAAGCUCAUCUCAGAAACUCCUUCCCAAUGCUUGAGGAACCAUAUGUGAUGGCCCAAAAGCCUUCAAGUUUGAUGCUCUCUCUGCUUAAGCUCUCUGAUAUUAAGUACACAGAGGGUAAGGCAACUCAACUCCACUUUGUCGUGCACGAGAUAUCCUGUGAUAUUAUAUAUUGAUUGAUUUGAGUUAUAUAGAAACUACAUUUAAUUUUAGAUUUUUUUAUUAGUACUUUUCUGUAAUAUAGCAACUGAUUUGUUAGAUAUCUAAAUGAUUU
Raphanus sativus (radish) is the source of this 1472-nucleotide long non-coding RNA. RefSeq lists it as uncharacterized. The record is from RefSeq and is a predicted model, not a curated record. NCBI's taxonomy places the organism in Eukaryota, Viridiplantae, Streptophyta, Magnoliopsida, Brassicales, Brassicaceae. The transcript is spliced from 3 exons.